This is a long non-coding RNA of Gasterosteus aculeatus aculeatus (three-spined stickleback), 9313 nucleotides long. The record is from Ensembl. NCBI's taxonomy places the organism in Eukaryota, Metazoa, Chordata, Actinopteri, Perciformes, Gasterosteidae.
GGUUCCUUGCUGGUUGUUGACGUCACUACGCUCACACAGAGGUGGGGUUUGUGUUUUUACAACGUCUCGCUGAUGAGCUAUUGACACUGCAUGAAAAGAGGGAUUUUCGGCAGUAUGCGGCACUGUAAAUUGUCGUGGAAUUUCAGGUUUGCGGCAAUUUGCGGGCAACGCCGAAAACUGCCGUAAAUUGUCAGAAAUUGAUGUGGGCCUCCCUUGGCAGUUGUCCCCCCAUGAUCCCCCUCCUCCUAAUUCUAGGGGAGGCUUUGACAUGUAAAUGAAAAUGCUGUGAGCUAUACAAAUGCAAAUCAGGGUCGUAGAGGGAGUUUUAGCCCAGGUGACAUUUUUUUAAAAGGUAAGAAAAUCUCUGGUACAAAUAGAUCAGGCUCAGUUGCCUAAUUAUAGACUCUUACAUUUUAGCUUGAAUUGAUUUAUUUAAUUCAAAUAUGCUAGAUUACUGUGUAUGCCAUUAGCAAUGGCAAAUGUUAUGUAAAAAAGAUACACAAAAUAACUUCUUUAAAAAAUGAGUUUUAAUCAAGGUAAAAUGAGCAUUCCAAGCAAACAACAUUUGAAUCAGCAUGAGGGGUCUGCAGAGAUCACAGUCUCCUAGAGCUCAACUACAGUGCAUAGUGGCAGGACUACAGUGACCUUUUCUUUGGUCUUACUUAAAUGCACAGAGGAUGUAUUAACCACACAUCUUCUAGCAAUGCGCUCAACUGGCAGAAAUGAUGCUGGGUAUGAGGUGUCUGUUCCCUGCAAGCCCCAAACUUCUAUUGGCUUUCCAUAAAAAUGUCUGUCCGGGUGGGGAUGAAGCCAGGAAACUUGUGCAAGAACAUGUUUAAAUGCCGUACCCUUUGACACAACAUUAACAACUAUAAACUGCUUUAUAAUGGCUGGUCGUAGUUCUGCUAGAGGGUCAAGGACGGGUUCCCCAAAACUGUUAGUGUUUCCACACCACUUAGCAUGAACAUAUGCUGACCUUUAUGCUCUGCAUCUAUCGAUUGCGUAAGUUACAUUCAUAUAUGUUACCCGUUUACAUGUCAUGGCAAAACAUUCAACCUCAGUGACACAAGGGUACAUCUGAUGAUACAUUACCAACAUUGCAUGUCUGUCAGACUCAAGAUUGUCUGGUGGAAUGGAGAAAGAGGCACCACUGUACAGUUUUCUAGGGAAAGUCGUUCCGCUGACACCAAAACAUUGCUUUACAUAAAGCAUAUCAGCUGUUUCAUUGCACGACAAAGUCCCAACCAUUUGUCUUCCUAAAAUACUGGUCCUUCCGUAUAACAAUAACCUCGUAUGUGAUUGGAGGACCCUUAGACCCCUCGUCCAAUCACGUGUGAGGUCAUAGGCAUGACUGAUACAGCAGUACUUGCAAGACGAGCAUACAAACAGACACGCGUGUGUUACUAUAUUCAGAAGAACUGUAUCUCCAGUUCCUUUGUUUGGUUUUUGCUGGUUCGUGAAUAAUGGCUGGACGACGUCUCGCGUUCAACUCGCCUUCAACUCCUCUCCGCGGUCACCAACUUUCGGCCAGUCCGCAGACAGACGAGAAGAAACUGCUGAAUGCUCUCAGUGGAUUGUCUCGUCAACUCCAACAACAAACUGCCGAUAUCAACGAGCGGUUCGCUCCACUGGAGCGUUCGGGACUCUCCAGGUCUCUGUCCAUAGAGAACAGGAUGGCGGCUCUGGAGGAACUGACUCAAAGAAGAGGAGACGGGCGCACAAUCCCAAGAUAGCGGUAAGAAUACGUUCGAUGACUGCAAGCUAAGCUAAAAGUAGCGUAGCCUCAAACGAAAGCUAAGAGUAGCCUAGUAGCCUUACAAGUGAGCAGAAACUGCUUAAUUAAAGGGUAUUUUCUUUGCCGUGUCGUUUACAGGAAGCGGUGCGCCGUCUUCACAACUCCGAGACGAAUUACAGGCGCCACAAACCGGAGCAAGGGUAAGAUUUAAAGAAUAUGACCUCGUAUUUGCUCCGGGAAAAGUCCAGAUUUAGACGACGUCAUUGUGUGUAAGUGACACUGUUUACUGUUUCUCCUUCCUUGUUAAAUUCUACUGUGACUUGCGUUUGAUUUUUUUUUGUAUUCAUACCACACUCAUUUAAUUGUUUUCCAGCCGCCUGUGAGACGUAUUUUGAGACGGUACGCAGGAGCUUUAGGUUUUCCAGCCGGACACUCAUUGCGGGCGGAAGCUGCGAAGGAUUCAGCGCGGAGUCAAGCGAGAAGAAAGAGGCUGCUGGAAUCGAGACAAAGUGUGCUGGCUGAUGACUCGGUGGAGCUCUGGAAAUCCGCCACCGUAGAGCUCACGUCGGACGGAGAGGAUGGCGUUGUUGGCGGGGUCUCGGGGUGGAUUGUACGGUCGCCCCGCACACCAGGCGCCUGCACAACAGACCUGCCUCGGAAAACACGCCGCCAAUGACGGUCUACAACCCCGAGGAGGCAAACGGACAGUUUACUGAGCUGUAGUUUUUUAAACCGCCUUUACCCAAGUGUGGGCAGAUCCUCACUUUGUAUGUAGUUGUUGUUGUUUGUAUGUUGUUAAUAAAGCUCUUUCUUUGCAUAAACAUGUGGCAAAUGUUCAUUUUCUCUAUAAAUACAUUGAUGUCCUGGUUGGUAUCCUAAUAAUAGUGUAGUAGCCUACAUAGGAUAACCAUGAAAUGAAUAUACAGCAUAAUAUGAAUAUAUAAAUAUAUAUAAAUAAAAUGAGGCGGGUGACCAAUAGCGACAGAUCUGCCAACCAAUCACGAGUGAUUGAAAGUUGUGGUUUCAUCCAAUCAUGAACAAGGAAACUCAAGCCUGGUCUGCCCAGGUGUGGUUUUGCUGCCAAUCACGAGUGAUUUUAUUUGUUUGUAAGUUGUGGUUUCAUCCAAUAAGGAGUAAGGAUAUUCAAGCCCGCUCGGCUCGGCCACCCGCGGUUUCGCUGCAUUCAUAUGCUAAUUCGGGCCAUUCGCACCUCCGCCAGCUCUGCACAUACGUCAUGGUUGGUUUCCGACAAUUUGUGGCACAGACAAACGCGACGUGCGCGGGUUGCAAAUUGUCGGAAAUUAGGGAGAUUUCCGGGCGUUUACGGGGACGAAAAUCUCACUUUUCAUGGAGUGUGAAUGAACCAGGAAGCCUGUGAAUAUCUUGCCAAACUUUACCGAACUGUAAAAGUUUCGGACACUUGCAACCACUCACUCCACACCUCAAAACAAACAGGGAGGAAUGUCUGAUGUAGACGUCCACUUUUAGCGGAGUCUAAAAUAUCUUCGGUAUUUCAGAGUCUGAGAUAAAUCACUUUUUCCUGAAAAGGCCAUAUUUCUGAAUUUGGUAAGUCCCAAAAAUGAACAACUGUGAACAUUAUUUUCUUCUGUAUUUAAAUAGGAAUCACAACCCCAAAAUAGAAAUGAGACACUGUGGAGAAUAGCUUUGAACUUGGUUCAGAUCUAUACUUGCUAAUGUAGUAAGUAAAUGUAAUCAAUAAUUGAUUAUUGGAAAAUGCUGUGCAUAGAUCAAACAAGAAAAGGUUGACUCUCAGUUCAGAAACAAAGUCAGGUAUUCUGGAAAAGGUAGCAGAAGAUAGUCCAAAAGUCCAAAGCUCCAGAAGAUUCAUUGCCAGAAAAAAAAGUUAAGACACCUGGGAGAGGAGAGGUCAACUACAUACCUCAAAAUACCAACUGGAGAGACCCCAGACAAAUUAGAAGAGGAGACUGUCACUUUUACAAGUCUUUAUUUCUAUUAUGUAAACAACAUCAAACAUUGACUGUGACAAAAAAAAAUUCAGUUUCAUCUUGUAUGGACAUUCUACUUUUCUAUCACAGAAAAGGUUUGUUGUGACAUUUUAUUUAAAAUAAAGCAAAAUAUAGAAUUGUAUUGGACUACUGUCUUUGCAUGUCAGAAGAACAUUUAUAAAUUAAGGUGUAAUUUAAAAAUUUAGUUUGCAUUGAAUGAGAAAUCUAACUUGAUGAAAGCUGAUGAAUUUGCCUGUAACAAAAUUAUAAAAUUUAGUUUGCAUUGAAUGAGAAAAUUUCACUUGAUGAAAGCUGAGAAAUUUGCAUUUUAGGGCAUUAGGGCAUUUUAACUACACUAAAGUAAAAACCUUGACAUCGGAAUAUUAAAUACUAGGUUUUUCCAAAAUGAAAAAAUCAAGUGGUAACAAAGCUAAAACGGUGUACGGUUGUAUCUUUUUACUUUGCAUAAAAGUACAUUUUUAUCUUGGGUAAAAUAAAUAUUUAUUAUUCAUAUUAAAUUAAAAUUUUAGGUUUAAACCAAAUACAAAGUAUCAUUUUAUUAAGUAUCAGUGUGGUUCUCCUUGCCCUUCUCACCUGCAGAACAUCCCCUCGUCAGCCAUUCACGAUUUAAGCCUGUUGUUCUGUUGUUCCCUGCCAGAUUGGCUUGUGUAUAUGCCAAGUUUUCCAGCGUUUCUAAAUUAGCUUGAUUUCCUUCUUUUCUGACCUAGCCUGCCUUUUUGACCAUGGAUUCCCUGCCUGCCCCCCUGGAUUUGGUUGUCUGAUUCCCAGCCUGGUUCUGACCCUGCCUGUUUCUUCUUGGCUUGCCCCUCUGGAUUUGUUUGCCUACUGACGGAUCCCCCGGUUUUGACCUGGCCUAAACUUAGUAAAAUCUAGCCUGAGUCGUGCUUUUGGGUUCCUUUGUGCACCGGUACCAGUAACCGUUACAGCUGCCAACUAAAGGUACAUCUCUUCAGAGUAUACCUUGACUAAAAAGACUAACAAAUUGUAUCACUUAAAUUGUACUUAUAAUGGCUUUUCUAUAGCAAGUUGUAAAUUGGCUCAUUUAAUGAACUUGCACAUUCUUGUUUCUUGUUGUUUUGAGUUUCUAUCUUUAUGGUUGAAAUGCACUUAUUCUUUUGCUGUGGAUAAAAGGGUCAGCUAAAUGACAUGUAAUAUAUAAAGGUAUCAAACAUGCAUUAAUACUUUGCAGUUAAAUAUUAAACAUUUAUUCAGUUUAACAGUGUGUUUAACAUAAUAAGGAUCUCUUAUUCAUACAAUUCCAUAUAUAUAUAUAUAUAUAUAUAUAUAUACACACACACACACACGGAAUCUACAUGAACCUAGUUUGUUGGGGAAACUGUGUGUGUGUGUGUGUGACAGACCAACUCAAAAGCCCUACAAAACACACACAAUUAAUUAUUUGGGAUAAAAUGUCCCUGUUUUCAUCUACGUCCACGUUAUGGUUCCUCCUAAUUUUUCCGUCGCAGCUGAAUACCUAUGUUGACUUUCCCUAACUGAGUUAUCACUGCGGUCAAGCCAGCCUCCACUUUGAAAAACACAGUCGAUCCAUCUUGCACGUUAUUUCAAGGUACGCCUAUAUACUAAAGAUUACGGUAGUGGUAUUAUCCGUGUGCGUCCUGGUGUUCUCUAUCGUUUUCUUGGUUUUCCAAUAAGUGCUUCAUGUCCCUUACUCAUGUAUCUGUCCAUGCUGGAUUCUGUCCCCGUUGAUUUAAAAAGGGAGCAUGGGAAGCUAAACACGGCGCUAGCAUGACUUCAUCCGGCUAGCUAAAUAUUCUGGGUGUAGCAGUCUCUACAGAAUCUUCAUAUGUGCGGCUUCUGUUCCACGCCAGUGCGCUGUUUGAUUGUGAGGUCAGGCUGAUCUUGGUCCAGUUCUUUUAGCUCUAGUUUUCCCGGAAAAGUUUUUCUCUCAAAUGGGUCAGACAUGGAGAGGAGGUGCAGGAAAAGCAUAUAUUGCGCAGAUAUCUUAAUUUACAAAUAUUGCUGGGUACAUUCCAUGUUUCAAAAACAAAUACACAAAUAUUGACUAUUUGUAAAAUGUAUUUAAUAUAAUUAAAAAAAAUCUUUUUUGUGGCUCGAGGUGGGGCCAUGGCCCUCUAUGGGGCAGCCGUUACAGAUCAGAUAUGAGUGAAGUACAGAGAGCAUGUGGAGACCAUCCAGACUUUUUAUCAACCAUAGGUCUCAGUCACAUCCCCUUUGAUUGUGUGUGAUAUAAAAGCUAUUAAAUAACCGAUGUUAGGCUGGCUGCAUUGAAGUGUGGAAACAUAUGGGUAGACUGCUGAGACUAUUUUGCCCGUUCCUAUUGGAAAGUUACUUAAUAAUUCUUAGGCUCAGUAGAGUGCAGCAUGAUUUGCUGUCAGUCAACAAAAAAUUGAUCAGUCCAUUUAGGUAAGUCUGAUGAUGAAGAAUGACAGUCCCUAAAACGGUCAGUCAGGAAGAACUGACAUUGCUUUCACCUUUUUGUUUACAUCUGAAUACAACUGAAUUACAGGUGAAAGCAACCUUUGUAACAAUAUAUGACAAAUCAUGCCCUGGAAACUAAAUGGAUUAUACCCAACAAUAAGAGUGUCUUUAAACAGACAUUGAAGGAAUAAUAAUGAAACAGCUGACGCAGCAACUUUCCAGAGUGCACCUGCCAUGUUCCAUCGAUGUGCCUGCCUUCGUUGUUGCCUUGGCAUCUGGUUGCUACGGCCACCCGCAGCCUGGCACUUAUCCACCGCUCUGAUCAGGAUUGGCACUCGUUGAUGACAUCAUCAUUACCCAUCAGUCAGCCCUGCUGUUACGAUGAGUGUCCUUCUAUAUGCCACUCUUGCCGCAAUGCAAUUGUGGGAGGGUGAAGGGGGAUGUUUCAGGUUCCAAUAUAGUGCUGGAUGAAAAAGGUGAGCAAUUGUUUUUUUAAUUAUUGGUGGAUUUAGCCAGAGCCAGAUUUGGGUGUGAGGCCUUGCUGGUGAUCCUGCUGACGGCAUUAAGCCAAUCGGACAUUACAUAAAAACUAUACCCAAAACAAGAAAGUGAUAUUAUUGUAUUUCUCAUGAACAUCAACAGCAACCGUUCCUUUUCUUUGCAACUCGUGAGACCUUGAUAAGCAGAAUCUCUACUUCGACUACUUGAGGUUUGCGCAACUGAGAAUAAGCUGGUUGCACUGAAAAAAUGUUUCUUUGCUAUUUUUGUCAGAACAGAUAUUAUAAGCACUUCUGGCUAAUAAAACAAGGAAGGAUUUCAUAGUACAGAAAUUCUUUUAUCCAUACUUAAUUUACGAUACUCUGCAAUACUGUGAACUUCUGUUUGACAUAACUCUCUUGAUCACUAAAGAUGUUCUUUAUUUACAUAUGUUGUAUUAUUGACACUGUCCUUGCAUUGUUCAAUGCAUAUUUCAAUAUUUGUUAUUGGAAUAUGUAUUCCAAACAAUCUGCACAUUUGCCCUCUUCUUCUUCAGUAUAAUCUUCUCAACCCAAUUACCUCAAAGGGAUCAUUGACUUCCGAUCUUAUCAAAUAUAAUUAUUGUUUAUUUGCUGUGAAAAAUGUGAAAGUUGUGCAGAAGCACAGAGCAGCUGGCUUCCAUUCAUUCUAACCUCUCCAGAUAAUAUUGUCCCUUCCACUUGUUUCUGUCAACGGAGAUUUGGUGAGUGAAUAACUGUCAUGUGGUUUAUUCUACGUGGAGCUUGUAUAAAUGACGCUGAAAAGUUACAAAGUUUGUAAUUGCAGGUUAUGAGCAGCAUUUAGAGCAGAGGGAGACAGACGGACAAAGAGAGAGAGCCAGAGACAAAGUGAGGUGUAGGCCAGGGACAGACUUGAUGGGAUUUUAGAAAUCUAUGAGGCUGAUGAUGAAUGUCUGAAAUAGGUUUGUCUGCCCAUUGAAAAGCCAUUUGUUUUCAUUAGCUCCCAAUGCUGGGGUAAGUCUGCAGUGAGGGAAAGGGGUGGGUGGCUGGAGCUUAUGGUCAUUAUGGGAUGGAUCUUGCUAGCUGAAGGAAUUAGCCCAAAGCUAUGUUGGCCAAGUGACUUGAAGUGGGUGACGCAUGACCAUCUUUGGCUCCAUGUACAAACAACAAGCAAGACUGUCCUCGCCAGAAAAAGCAAUGCGCAAAUUGAUUGACGGUUUGAAUAUCAAACAAUCUAUGUGUAUGUAUUUUUUCCCAAUUGUGGCUUGUGGCUCUUCAAUGUCUGACUCCCAAAAUAAAAGAUAGAAGUACAGGGACUGAGUGGCUCCAAGCCUUGUGGUCCAUACAAAGCAGCUCUGACACAAGAAACUGCUAUUCCAUCAUGUUCUAUACAAACUGUCAAAGUGUUUUUUUACACCAUGACAGAAUCUUCGCUUAACCCUAACCUAAGUAUUUUAUCAACCUAAACAACUGUAUUUCACUGAUUUGGGAGAAUUUUAACAGUAUGCUUCAGAGCAGUGGGCCAUGCCAUUUUUCCAAAAAAAACUAUUAGUCCGAAAAUGUCCGAGGGCCCCAAAAAAACAUUUAUAUUUUACGGUUAGAGGACUAUAAGCAUUCGUGAUGCUUUCCAGGUGACUUUUAGUAGUGCACAAGAGGCUACUUUUAGCCUGUUGAGGCCAAAAUGAAGAUUAUAACAAACACAAAAUGAUAUUGAUUAAAAAAAACACCUGCCAACAAAAAAAACAAUUUAAAAAAGACAAUUUAUUCCACCUAUUAAAACUUGUUAACAUAUGUAAUUAUUUUCUGAAUGAUCUUUUCUUACCUGUUCUCUUUAGAUCAGAUGUAGUAAAUAGAUGUAAUAAAAAAAUAUUUUUUCACGUUCAUGGCUUCCAUACAAAGCACAUCAGAACAUUGUGAGGAUUGAUUUUGCAUUCAUCCUUCGAGUUUCGGAAUGCUCUUAUGAUUUUUUUUAUGAGAUAAUCUAAAAGAAAAAAAAAAGUUUGUUGCAUACACAAUCAAGCUAACGUGGUGUAUGAUAAUAUUGCAGUAGAUGUAUGUUGAUAAGGGUGCUUGUGCGUGUGUGUUGAGAGACAGAGAUCAAGACUGCAUUGAAACCCAACUGUAACUCUUGACUUCUGGUACAUGCAGUGUAUAACGAAUGAUAUUAUAUGAGUGAAGCCUUAGAAUCAAAUUCCCGCUGGGGUGACACAUGCAGUAUUCACCUUUCAAUACAUCUACACAUCUAUCUAUCAAAGAUGAUGUAACAUCUCUUAUAAUAUAGCGAGAUCUGUAAGUAGGCAAAACGAACAGCUCUGGAUUGGCUUUUCCUUGGUCUGAAAGGGUUUGUUCAUGCGGAGCUGAGAGUGGCCAGGAUCAAUAAGAGAGAAAAAUAGGAAAAUGACAUGGCUUUCUCCAGAUGAAAGAUCUAAUCUCCAAUAUCCAUUUACAGCUCAGGGCCCUGCACUAAGGCAGCAAGACAGCAACGCAGUUACAGCAAAAAAAACACCCCACCGAUUUCAUGUCCAGAUCGUUGUCCUGACACUCCCUCCUUAACAAUCAUGGUGAUUCUGAGGCAAUGUGCUUAGAGCGAGUUUCUACAUUUGCUGUUGAUGCUUUCUUGUGUGCGUGUGUGUGUGUGUAUAUAUAUAUAUACAUAUACUCCCACUUUUGUGUAUAUGUAUGAAUAUAUAUGUAUGUGUGUGUAUGUAUGUGUG